GUACGUACAAGCAGUGGGAGCACCCUUCGGGGUGUGACUGCGUACCUUUUGUAUAAUGGGUCAGCGACUUAUAUUCUGUAGCAAGGUUAACCGAAUAGGGGAGCCGGAGGGAAACCGAGUCUUAAUUGGGCGUUAAGUUGCAGGGUAUAGACCCGAAACCCGGUGAUCUAGCCAUGGGCAGGUUGAAGGUUGGGUAACACUAACUGGAGGACCGAACCGACUAAUGUUGAAAAAUUAGCGGAUGACCUGUGGCUGGGGGUGAAAGGCCAAUCAAACCGGGAGAUAGCUGGUUCUCCCCGAAAGCUAUUUAGGUAGCGCCUCGUGAAUUCAUCUCCGGGGGUAGAGCACUGUUUCGGCUAGGGGGCCAUCCCGGCUUACCAACCCGAUGCAAACUGCGAAUACCGGAGAAUGUUAUCACGGGAGACACACGGCGGGUGCUAACGUCCGUCGUGAAGAGGGAAACAACCCAGACCGCCAGCUAAGGUCCCAAAGUCAUGGUUAAGUGGGAAACGAUGUGGGAAGGCCCAGACAGCCAGGAUGUUGGCUUAGAAGCAGCCAUCAUUUAAAGAAAGCGUAAUAGCUCACUGGUCGAGUCGGCCUGCGCGGAAGAUGUAACGGGGCUAAACCAU
This 629-nucleotide ribosomal RNA is filed under the name Salmonella enterica. RNAcentral's name for it is "partial 23S ribosomal RNA". It matches the Rfam family "Bacterial large subunit ribosomal RNA", at positions 560 to 1190 of the family's 2925-position model. Lineage: Bacteria; Pseudomonadati; Pseudomonadota; Gammaproteobacteria; Enterobacterales; Enterobacteriaceae. The record is from RNAcentral.